GAUGAACGCUGGCGGCGUGCUUAACACAUGCAAGUCGAACGGUAAAUAUUUCAUUGAGACUUCGGUGGAUUUGAUUUAUUUCUAGUGGCGGACGGGUGAGUAACGCGUGGGUAACCUGCCUUAUACAGGGGGAUAACAGUCAGAAAUGGCUGCUAAUACCGCAUAAGCGCACAGAGCUGCAUGGCUCAGUGUGAAAAACUCCGGUGGUAUAAGAUGGACCCGCGUUGGAUUAGCUAGUUGGUGGGGUAACGGCCCACCAAGGCGACGAUCCAUAGCCGGCCUGAGAGGGUGAACGGCCACAUUGGGACUGAGACACGGCCCAGACUCCUACGGGAGGCAGCAGUGGGGAAUAUUGCACAAUGGGGGAAACCCUGAUGCAGCGACGCCGCGUGAAGGAAGAAGUAUCUCGGUAUGUAAACUUCUAUCAGCAGGGAAGAUAGUGACGGUACCUGACUAAGAAGCCCCGGCUAACUACGU
RNAcentral lists this ribosomal RNA (477 nucleotides) under uncultured bacterium. RNAcentral's name for it is "partial 16S ribosomal RNA". It matches the Rfam family "Bacterial small subunit ribosomal RNA", at positions 28 to 506 of the family's 1533-position model. The record is from RNAcentral.